GGGCGUAUGGUCUAGAGGUAUGAUACCUGCUUUGGGUAACGAACUACGUCUAUAGACGGAAACUCAAUUGCAGGGGGUCUUCGGUUUGAAUCCGGAUUCGCCCC
Molecule: non-coding RNA, 104 nt
Organism: Collybiopsis luxurians FD-317 M1
Lineage: Eukaryota; Fungi; Basidiomycota; Agaricomycetes; Agaricales; Omphalotaceae
Source: the annotation of a GenBank genome assembly